Molecule: long non-coding RNA, 527 nt
Organism: Diachasmimorpha longicaudata
Lineage: Eukaryota; Metazoa; Arthropoda; Insecta; Hymenoptera; Braconidae
Exons: 2
Source: RefSeq, a predicted model, not a curated record
GUGAGACGUUUGAGCUGACAGUAUUCCGCCAACAAUUCUCCGUAUCUCGUCGCAAUGAUUCUUUCGAGAAAUCUAGGGAGCAAAAUAAACAAAUACAAUGAACUAAGUUUUUUGAUUGACUCGUGACGAAAAGUGGCUCAAGUUGAAUAUUUUCCGCAGUUCAUAAUUAUGAAAUAAUCAUUUCAGGCGUCUCCUGACAACCCUGAAAAAUUUUCCCCCGCAACCCUGAUAAAGCGGAGAAAUUUUCCGGAGAGUCGGUGAUAAGUGAAAAAUCGAGGGAUGAAGGGAAAGCCGAUGGCUUGGUAGCCCCUAGUGACGUUGGGCCCACAACGACGACGCCAGAGGACGAAUGGACAGGCUGAGAGGACCAGGAGGGCAUUCGGGCCUUGACCUUCGAACUGGGCAGUCCUUCAAUCACCUUCCAACGUCAUCAAUUUUUUUCGUAGUCUGGUCACGUGACUUCGGGGCUUGUGCUACACUUGUAGUUAAUUCAGUGGAUUAAAUAAAUAGUUUGUAAAUAUGUAAAA